GACGAACGCUGGCGGCGUGCUUAACACAUGCAAGUCGAACGGUAAGGCCCUUCGGGGUACACGAGUGGCGAACGGGUGAGUAACACGUGGGUGAUCUGCCCUGCACUUCGGGAUAAGCCUGAGAAACUGGGUCUAAUACCGGAUAGGACCACUGCCUGCAUGGGUGGUGGUGGAAAGCUUUUGCGGUGUGGGAUGGGCCCGCGGCCUAUCAGCUUGUUGGUGGGGUGAUGGCCUACCAAGGCGACGACGGGUAGCCGGCCGGAGAGGGUGACCGGCCACACUGGGACUGAGAUACGGCCCAGACUCCUACGGGAGGCAGCAGUGGGGAAUAUUGCACAAUGGGCGCAAGCCUGAUGCAGCGACGCCGCGUGAGGGAUGACGGCCUUCGGGUUGUAAACCUCUUUCGGCACCGACGAAGCGCAAGUGACGGUAGGUGCAGAAGAAGGACCGGCCAACUACGUGCCAGCCGCCGCGGUAA
This 478-nucleotide ribosomal RNA is filed under the name uncultured bacterium. RNAcentral describes it as "partial 16S ribosomal RNA". It matches the Rfam family "Bacterial small subunit ribosomal RNA", at positions 28 to 523 of the family's 1533-position model. The record is from RNAcentral.